GGGGAUUUAGCUCAGCGGCAUAAGCACCUGCCUUGCAAGCAGGUGGUCGUGAGUUCGUGAGUUCGAUCCCUG
Non-coding RNA from Cavia porcellus (domestic guinea pig), 72 nucleotides. The record is from Rfam. Lineage: Eukaryota; Metazoa; Chordata; Mammalia; Rodentia; Caviidae.